RNAcentral lists this ribosomal RNA (467 nucleotides) under uncultured bacterium. Its description in RNAcentral is "partial 16S ribosomal RNA". It matches the Rfam family "Bacterial small subunit ribosomal RNA", at positions 28 to 506 of the family's 1533-position model. The record is from RNAcentral.
GACGAACGCUGGCGGCGUGCUUAACACAUGCAAGUCGAACGGAAAGGCCCUGCUUUUGUGGGGUGCUCGAGUGGCGAACGGGUGAGUAACACGUGAGUAACCUGCCCUUGACUUUGGGAUAACUUCAGGAAACUGGGGCUAAUACCGGAUAGGAGCUCCUGCUGCAUGGUGGGGGUUGGAAAGUUUCGGCGGUUGGGGAUGGACUCGCGGCUUAUCAGCUUGUUGGUGGGGUAGUGGCUUACCAAGGCUUUGACGGGUAGCCGGCCUGAGAGGGUGACCGGCAACAUUGGGACUGAGAUAGGGCCCAGACUCCUACGGGGGGCAGCGGGGGGGAAAUUGGCACAAUGGGCGGAGGCCUAAGGAGCAACGCCCGGGUGCGGGAGAACGGCCUUCGGGUGGUAAACCGUUUUGGCCUGUGACGAGGCGUGGGUGACGGUAAUGGGUAAGGAAGCACCGGCUAACUACGU